GUCUACAGCCAUGCCACCCUGAACAAGCCCGAUCCUGUCUAAUCUUGGAAGCUAAGCAAAGUCGGGCCUGGUUAGUACUUGGAGGGGAGAACACUUAGGAAGACCAGGUGCUGUAGGUA
This 119-nucleotide ribosomal RNA is filed under the name Pteropus alecto (black flying fox). Lineage: Eukaryota; Metazoa; Chordata; Mammalia; Chiroptera; Pteropodidae. The record is from RNAcentral.